UCCCUGGUGGCUCAGAUGGUGAGGAGUCUGCCUGCAGCGCAGGAGACCUGGGUUCAAUCCCUGGUUUGGGAA
Non-coding RNA from Bos taurus (domestic cattle), 72 nucleotides. Lineage: Eukaryota; Metazoa; Chordata; Mammalia; Artiodactyla; Bovidae. The record is from Rfam.